This is a non-coding RNA of Hydra vulgaris (swiftwater hydra), 1819 nucleotides long. NCBI's taxonomy places the organism in Eukaryota, Metazoa, Cnidaria, Hydrozoa, Anthoathecata, Hydridae. The record is from RefSeq and is a predicted model, not a curated record.
AUAAUUGUUAUCAUAAUAAAUUAUUUUAAGUCAUUGGUAAAGUUAACUCAUGAUUGAACAAAAUUGAAAUUUAUUGCAUACAAAUGAUAUCAAUUAAAUUUUUUUGCUUAAAAAAGAAGCAAGUAACUAAUUUUCUCUGGAUGUUCUUUUUUUCAUUUAAGAAAUAACUCAACGUGACAUUAUAUGGUAUUAUGGGUCCCAAAAAGAAUAUGUGUGUGUUUCGUGGUGCAGCGAAAAACUAUUUAGAAUCAAACUUUGCAUUGUCUUUGCAAGUAGACAACAAUUGUAAAAAUGGGCAUAUUCUGUUUGUAUUCGUUAGCAAUAAUGAAUCACAUCAAUUAACUAUUGAGCAGAUCAAUAAACUUUAUGGCUUCAAUAUUUGUUACAGUCAUACUAAACCUCUUGUUAAUGUAUCAAAAAAAUGGGCUUGCAAUUUUUUAAGAGAUUCAAAACAUUUUGUUGACUUCUGCAACGAGCCUUUUAUUUGUCAAGCAGCAUCAUUUCCAGCAACAGAUUCAUUUCAGUCAAGUCCAAGUUCAAGUAAAACUGUUUCGUAUUUGUCAGUUGCCUCAUCUCCUAAACAUAAAAGUAUUCUGUCUUCACCUAAUAAAUAAAGUCCUUUGUUAUCCAGGUUAAGAGCUGACCAGUUGACUCCAAGAAAAAAACUCCUCAAACAUAGAUUAAGUGUUUUUGCUACUGAAAUUGCUACCGAAAAACGAAAGCAUGGAGAGAAUGUAAAGGUGUUAAAAGAAAAAAUUAAAACAAGGCCAAGAUUUAAACAUCUCAAUGAGACUAAUGCUCGCAAAGAAAAGACAAUUCGAAGUUUGCGGAAUAAAUUAAAAGUUUAACGUCUAAACUUACAGCUGAAUAAGCUUCAAAUUUCGAAUUUUCAUUUGAAAAAAGAACUGCAAUUCACCCAAACAAAGCUGUCUAAUGAAGAAGUUAUCUUACGUCAACAACUUGCUUACAAGAAUGUAGAGAUUAAUGUCCUGCAAAAUGAUAUGCUUAUUUUACAGGAAAAGAAAGAGCAAAUGCAGCAGAAAGUACAAAGCACCAGAUGUAAAAAAGUCUACUCAUCUGAUAUUAGGGCACUUAUCUAUGACAUGCUAGCAUGUCAAGUUCCUACACACAGUGUGCCCCAACUGCUUCAUAAAGUAGGAGAACACUUUGGGUAUAGAUUUAGUGACAUUCCACAUCGCAAAACUGUGGAGCAGAUGAUGCGCGAGCUGGGUAUUAUUUCAGAACUCCAGGCUGCUGAGAUAGCAUUCUCAACAAAAAAUUUGACUCUUGGUUUUGAUGCCACAACCCAGGAGGGUGUUCAUGUCAAUGUUGUGCACUUAACAAAUGAAUCUUCGUGCAUGGUUGUAGCCAUUGACCAGCUUGCUGGUGGUACAUCUUAUGACUAUAUGAGUCAUAUUACAAAGUCUGUGGAUAAUCUUGCUAAGUUGUAUAGUGACUUUUACCGGAAACAAUAUACUGAUGUACGAAGCACGAUUAUCAGCAACAUAUGUUGUUCAGUUAAAUAAACUCCGUUACAAGGAUGGUAAAGGUGAUCCAAAAGGCUUUGUCACCUUUUUGGACAGCAUGGUCUUCCUAGAGGACUUAUACCACGCUAUAGGGGAAAUCGAUUGCACAUACUUUUUCAUACAUGUGGAACUUUAAUACAUCACUACCAGAAACUUCAGAGUUUUCUGUUUUCUGGAGUAGUGUUAUGUGGAGGACUGAGAAAUAGUCUUUUCCAAGACUUCACAUCUGAUACAGCGUUGCUUUUUUUAAAAAGAGUUUAUAGUCCAAACUUGCAACAAUAAAUCUUGAAAUU